This 1186-nucleotide unclassified non-coding RNA is filed under the name Zea mays. RNAcentral's name for it is "misc RNA Zm00001eb315440". The record is from RNAcentral. Lineage: Eukaryota; Viridiplantae; Streptophyta; Magnoliopsida; Poales; Poaceae.
CGCUGUUGGCCUGUUGCCAUGCCAUAUCCGUCGAGCUGAAGCCUGAAGCAACCACCAUUUCGAUACGCGCGAGGGAACGGGGCCGGCCGGCCGGCCGGGGAUCGGAACUGAAGUGUGGGCACACAAGAGUCACAACAGGGGGAGUGGGGGACAUUCCAAUCAGUUCCCUGCGUGUGAGCGAUGCAGCGGGACGCGAGAAGCUGGUCGCCGGCGCCGGCCACGGACGCCGCCGGCCCUUACGCGAUGCCUUCGCCCGUGCAGCCGUCGACCAAGAGCACGAAGGAGACGGUGAAGAAUGCGCUGUCGCGGUGGGGGCGGAAGGUCGGGGAGGCGACCAGGAAGGCCGAGGGCCUGUCGCGCAACACAUGGCAGCACUUGAGGACGGCGCCGAGCAUCGCGGAGGCCGCGGUGGGGAGGAUCGCGCAGGGGACCAAGGUGCUGGCGGAGGGCGGCCACGACAGGAUAUUCCGCCAGGCCUUCAGCGCCCCGCCCGACGAGCAGCUGCGCAAGUCCUACGCUUGCUACCUCUCCACGGCCGCCGGCCCGGUGAUGGGCGUCCUGUACCUGUCCACGGCCAGGGUCGCCUUCUGCAGCGACAGCCCGCUGUCCUACGAGGCUUCCGGCGGCGACAGAACGGAGUGGACCCACUACAAGGUGGCGAUUCCUCUUCAACGGCUGCGGGCGGCGAGCCCGUCGGCCAACAAGACCAAGCCCGCGGAGAAGUUCAUCCAGCUGGUGUCGGUGGACAGUCACGAGUUCUGGUUCAUGGGCUUCGUCAACUACGACGGCGCGGUUGCGCACCUGCAGGAAGCGCUGAGCGGGUUCCGCAACCUGCAGGCGUGACAUGGAGGACCUCAAUGCAAUGGACAGUGUUGUCUUGUACGUGCUCGCCAGAACUGAUUGAUCGAACAGAGCGAUUGUGUACCCGCUCUCUGUGUGUGUUGCGGUGCUAGUGUUUGCAUCGUGUUGUGCGUGUGCGGAUUUGUAUGACAUUUUUUUGAUUUGGUUGCCAUUGUCAGCGAGAGAACAGUCCAAUCAUUUUAUUCAGAUUUCAGAGAAGACCAUGGUUAUCCAUGGCGAUGGCUUUGAUGAUCACCUGCAACAUCAUCAACACAUCUAUUUUAGACGCUCUUUUGUGUUGGAUUUGAUCUCAAACUUAUAUAGGGCAUUAAUAAAUAUAAUUACU